Molecule: ribosomal RNA, 529 nt
Filed under: Bifidobacterium adolescentis JCM 15918
Lineage: Bacteria; Bacillati; Actinomycetota; Actinomycetes; Bifidobacteriales; Bifidobacteriaceae
Description: bacterial SSU rRNA
Rfam family: Bacterial small subunit ribosomal RNA
Source: RNAcentral
UGGUAAUGCCGGAUGCUCCGACAUGACGCAUGUCGUGUCGGGAAAGAUUCUAUCGGUAUGGGAUGGGGUCGCGUCCUAUCAGCUUGAUGGCGGGGUAACGGCCCACCAUGGCUUCGACGGGUAGCCGGCCUGAGAGGGCGACCGGCCACAUUGGGACUGAGAUACGGCCCAGACUCCUACGGGAGGCAGCAGUGGGGAAUAUUGCACAAUGGGCGCAAGCCUGAUGCAGCGACGCCGCGUGCGGGAUGACGGCCUUCGGGUUGUAAACCGCUUUUGACUGGGAGCAAGCCCUUCGGGGUGAGUGUACCUUUCGAAUAAGCACCGGCUAACUACGUGCCAGCAGCCGCGGUAAUACGUAGGGUGCAAGCGUUAUCCGGAAUUAUUGGGCGUAAAGGGCUCGUAGGCGGUUCGUCGCGUCCGGUGUGAAAGUCCAUCGCUUAACGGUGGAUCCGCGCCGGGUACGGGCGGGCUUGAGUGCGGUAGGGGAGACUGGAAUUCCCGGUGUAACGGUGGAAUGUGUAGAUAUCGG